RNAcentral lists this ribosomal RNA (253 nucleotides) under uncultured bacterium. RNAcentral describes it as "partial 16S ribosomal RNA". It matches the Rfam family "Bacterial small subunit ribosomal RNA", at positions 524 to 776 of the family's 1533-position model. The record is from RNAcentral.
UACGGAGGGUGCUAGCGUCACUCGGAAUCACUGGGCGUAAAGGGCGCGUAGGCGGCCUAGCAAGUCUGGCGGGAAAGCCCAGGGCUCAACCCUGGAAGGGCACUGGAAAUUGUUAGGCUUGAGUUCCGAAGAGGAGGGGGGAAUUCCCGGUGUAGUGUUGAAAUACGUAGAUGUCAGGAGGAAUACCGGUGGCGAAGGCGCCCCUCUGGACGGAAACUGACGCUGAUGCGCGAAAGCGUGGGGAGCAAUCAGG